Molecule: ribosomal RNA, 460 nt
Filed under: uncultured bacterium
Lineage: Bacteria
Description: partial 16S ribosomal RNA
Rfam family: Bacterial small subunit ribosomal RNA
Source: RNAcentral
CCUACGGGCGGCAGCAGUGAGGAAUAUUGGUCAAUGGGCGGAAGCCUGAACCAGCCAAGUCGCGUGAGGGAUUAAGGCCCUGCGGGUCGUAAACCUCUUUUGCCGGGGAGCAGAGGUCCGGACGUGUCCGGGACGGGAGAGUACCCGGAGAAAAAGCAUCGGCUAAAUCCGUGCCAGCAGCCGCGGUAAUACGGGGGAUGCGAGCGUGAUCGGGAUUUGUUGGGUUUAAAGGGUGCGUAGGCGGGCAUUAAGGCCGGCGGUAAAAUGUCGGGGCUCAACCCCGGCCUGCCGUCGGAACUGGGUGCCUUGAGUGGACGAGAGGUAUGCGGAAUGCGUGGUGUAGCGGUGAAAUGCAUAGAUAUCACGCAGAACCCCGAUUGCGAAGGCAGCAUACCGGCGCCCUACUGACGCUGAGGCACGAAAGUGCGGGUAUCGAACAGGAUUAGAUACCCUUGUAGUC